AUUGAACGCUGGCGGCAUGCCUUACACAUGCAAGCCGAACGGCAGCACGGGUGCUUGCCCCUGGUGGCGAGUGGCGAACGGGUGAGUAAUACAUCGGAACAUGUCCUGUAGUGGGGGAUAGCCCGGCGAAAGCCGGAUUAAUACCGCAUACGAUCUACGGAUGAAAGCGGGGGACCUUCGGGCCUCGCGCUAUAGGGUUGGCCGAUGGCUGAUUAGCUAGUUGGUGGGGUAAAGGCCUACCAAGGCGACGAUCAGUAGCUGGUCUGAGAGGACGACCAGCCACACUGGGACUGAGACACGGCCCAGACUCCUACGGGAGGCAGCAGUGGGGAAUUUUGGACAAUGGGCGAAAGCCUGAUCCAGCAAUGCCGCGUGUGUGAAGAAGGCCUUCGGGUUGUAAAGCACUUUUGUCCGGAAAGAAAUCCUUGGCCCUAAUACGGUCGGGGGAUGACGGUACCGGAAGAAUAAGCACCGGCUAACUACGU
Molecule: ribosomal RNA, 485 nt
Filed under: uncultured bacterium
Lineage: Bacteria
Description: partial 16S ribosomal RNA
Rfam family: Bacterial small subunit ribosomal RNA
Source: RNAcentral